Long non-coding RNA from Cornus florida, 981 nucleotides. RefSeq lists it as uncharacterized. The transcript is spliced from 6 exons. The record is from RefSeq and is a predicted model, not a curated record. NCBI's taxonomy places the organism in Eukaryota, Viridiplantae, Streptophyta, Magnoliopsida, Cornales, Cornaceae.
UCUUAUAUAUCUCAUUAGUCAUUACAGCCGCCCCUCUCUUGCCUCGUCUCUCCACCCUCUUCUCUCUUCACACCCUCUUCUCUAGACUCUAGUUAUCCUCGUCUCUGUGACAGUCUUCACUCUUCACCUCUGUUUUUGUUCACUCUUCGCCUCUCAAUCCAUCACCUCUCAAUCCAUUGUUGACCAGAUUCGAAGCAACGGCGACCUCUUCGUGUGUAUCUACCUCUUUUCCGUGAUGGAUCUUCUUAUUCUGGAAGACGACGCCGCCGACGGCCAUCCCGUGGCUGAACUGUAACUGUGUGGCUUCGGGCUCCACUGUGUACGCCAUCACGGAGGGUUCUCGUAUCUGUUCGGUGAACGCCGCCGAUCUCUUAGGUUGCUGGAGUGCGAUUCAGGCCAGUGCUAGUAAACCUUCAGUUUAUUUUCCUUCAAGAUAGGGAAUCCAUUGCCCUAACCCUUCCCAAGAUGUAAAGUUAAAGUUUUUCAUUGGAAAAUAGACCCAAAUGAAACUCUAUCUCGGAUUGAGGAGGUGUCAGUCCUCCCUCUAGUCUCUACCCUGCCCAAGGAUAAUGCCUCCUCAGUCAUCUGGUAUACUUGUGGGGAAGAAAGCUCAACGUGAAGUGAGUGGUAUCGGAAAAAUAUUGAGCAAGGAUGUAUAUGAAGCAGUUUAUGAUAAGAAUCUUGCAAAAAUGCUACUAUAUGGAAGGAGUAAAAAAAAAUUCCAAGGAUGUGGGAUGCUUGGAACAAUUGGAAGGACGAACAUGGAUACUGAAAUAUAUAUAUAUAUAUAUAUAUAAAUAUAUAUAUAUAUUUUUUAUGGUAUAUUCCAGCUUUUGCUCCAUAUCAUCUCACUAUUUGUCACUUAAUUUUGCGCUCCUGUUUUAUGUAAAUUAGAGUAUGCCCCCUUGACAAUUGUUAUCUUUGGCCUUUUAGCUUAUUAUGGAAACCUUACUUAUCAAAAAGAAAAACUAAAUUAGAGUA